ACUUUUUGGUUACAAAGCUGUAAAUAGGUAUAUUACCAUUUACAAAGGCUUUUUAUUAACUGUUUAAACACCUUGACUAUAAAAAAUAACAUUGUUAGCCAUUAAAGCUAAAGUAUGUGGCACCCCCCAAAACUACACCCGCCUUUUUUCCUAGAAAAGGGCCCUUUACACACCCUGUUUUUUUAAAGAAACGCCUUUUUAAAUAUUAAUUUUGGGUGUGGGGGGCAAAACCUUUUUUUUAAAAAAGCAGGUUUAAACCUAUAAAUAGGGGGACAAAAAAAACUGAACAAGGCUGUUAAAGAAAUAUUGCUAAUACAAGACUUCUACCGUUAUGAGGAGCAACAACAUGGACGAGAACUUUUUUCUUGACAUUCCAGAUGCCGCGCUAGAAGCUUUAAAUUUUGACUUAUCAAGCGUUAUUCCUCAAGAAGAAAUGUUGAAGGGAAGAGCGCUUAAAGGGGCCAAGAAAUUUCCAUCUGAGGCAGCUGCAGUCGGAAGC
This is a long non-coding RNA of Gopherus evgoodei (Goodes thornscrub tortoise), 499 nucleotides long. RefSeq lists it as uncharacterized. The transcript has 3 exons. The record is from RefSeq and is a predicted model, not a curated record. NCBI's taxonomy places the organism in Eukaryota, Metazoa, Chordata, Testudines, Testudinidae.